This is a long non-coding RNA of Pseudophryne corroboree (corroboree frog), 1150 nucleotides long. RefSeq lists it as uncharacterized. NCBI's taxonomy places the organism in Eukaryota, Metazoa, Chordata, Amphibia, Anura, Myobatrachidae. The record is from RefSeq and is a predicted model, not a curated record. The transcript is spliced from 3 exons.
CUCUGCGUGUCCGACAAGUUGUGGUAGAGUCACAUGGGGGGGUGGCACUGGCAGCGAUCUACUGACUACAGCAGCCAUCCUGCCUGUCAGUGACUGGGCGCUGCUGUGUCUCCUAGUACACUUCCUCUCACCAGUGGCCACGGCACCAGCCUCUAUUAGGACUGACUGCCCUUCUCUGUAAUGGUGGCGUACACUUUGUUGUUAUUGUAACCAAGCCCACCGCCAUGCCACCCGUGUGAUGCGUGAUGUCAGUGAGCUGGGGGCAGCCGGAGAUCUAAUCAGCACUGGGUGUUAUAAAUGAGAGUGGAAGUGUGGAGAUUCCCGCCACCCCAGACCUUAGCAUCAUCCAGGAUAUGGAGGAAUCCCAGCCCCAAGUUCCUACCCCUGAAACACCAGCUACCUUUGCAUCACCAGGUCAUUUUGGUGCGCCCCCCCACCCCGGAAGAGAACCCCCCCCCAAAAAAAAAACCACCACCCAGGAGGGUGAAGACCUCAUUUUCACUUUUGAGGAAAUCAAGUCAAGACUUGCUCAGCACACCCCAUCCCCAACCCCCACCCCUGUUCGUCCCCGACCACUACACAAAGUUUGGGGAAUUUAUUGGCAUCAGCAAUGCGUAACCUACCCCCGGUUCAAGCGGACCAGAUUCAGCGUCUCAAUUUAAAGAUGCUGAACAAAGCACGGAAAUCAAAACUCCAUGAUGAUGUCGUACUAUUCGACCGCCACCCUCUCACUCUUCCUCCCACCCAAUCCCUCCCUAUUCCGCCCACCCAACCCCAUAUCAUUCCACCCACCCAACCACAGCCUACUCCCUCACCGACCUGCUCCUCAGCCAUAUACUCUGCUAUGCUGGAGGCAGAGAAGGACAUACCCUAGUUUGAAAAUUUGUAGGCUUCUUAUAAUUCCCAAUAAAUAUUUUGCAGUAUAGGCUAUAUGGUGUUUUGGGGGCAGAUUUUUGAGGGAGGAUACAUGCAUGCUGUAGGUGCAUUAUAUUGGGGUCGGGUCCAUUCAUUCUGCAUUUUACAGCAUGUGUGUAUUCUCCCAAUCAAAUCUGUGCCCAGAACACCAUAUAGCCCUCCAUCUUAGGAGUGAAAGUACCGCCUCAUAUUUAUUGGGAAUUAAAAGAAAAAGAAACUAUUAUUUAAUCCUUUU